This 253-nucleotide ribosomal RNA is filed under the name uncultured bacterium. RNAcentral's name for it is "partial 16S ribosomal RNA". It matches the Rfam family "Bacterial small subunit ribosomal RNA", at positions 524 to 776 of the family's 1533-position model. The record is from RNAcentral.
UACGUAGGGGGCAAGCGUUAUCCGGAUUUACUGGGUGUAAAGGGAGCGUAGACGGUAUGGCAAGUCUGAAGUGAAAGCCCAGGGCUUAACCCUGGGACUGCUUUGGAAACUGUUAGACUAGAGUGCUGGAGAGGUAAGUGGAAUUCCUAGUGUAGCGGUGAAAUGCGUAGAUAUUAGGAGGAACACCAGUGGCGAAGGCGGCUUACUGGACAGUAACUGACGUUGAGGCUCGAAAGCGUGGGGAGCAAACAGG